GACGAACGCUGGCGGCGUGCUUAACACAUGCAAGUCGAACGGAAGUUAAGUUUUCGGAUUUAACUUUAGUGGCGAACGGGUGAGUAACGCGUGAGGAACCUGCCUUUCAGUGGGGGACAACAGUUGGAAACGACUGCUAAUACCGCAUAAGCACACAGUACCGCAUGGUACAGAGUGAAAAACUCCGGUGGUAUGAGAUGGACCCGCGUCUGAUUAGCUGGUUGGCGGGGUAACGGCCCACCAAGGCGACGAUCAGUAGCCGACCUGAGAGGGUGACCGGCCACAUUGGAACUGAGAGACGGUCCAA
RNAcentral lists this ribosomal RNA (307 nucleotides) under uncultured bacterium. RNAcentral's name for it is "bacterial SSU rRNA". It matches the Rfam family "Bacterial small subunit ribosomal RNA", at positions 28 to 334 of the family's 1533-position model. The record is from RNAcentral.